RNAcentral lists this ribosomal RNA (566 nucleotides) under uncultured bacterium. RNAcentral describes it as "bacterial SSU rRNA". It matches the Rfam family "Bacterial small subunit ribosomal RNA", at positions 338 to 916 of the family's 1533-position model. The record is from RNAcentral.
CCUACGGGAGGCAGCAGUGGGGAAUAUUGCACAAUGGGCGCAAGCCUGAUGCAGCGACGCCGCGUGAGGGAUGACGGCCUUCGGGUUGUAAACCUCUUUCAGUAGGGAAGAAGCGAAAGUGACGGUACCUGCAGAAGAAGCGCCGGCUAACUACGUGCCAGCAGCCGCGGUAAUACGUAGGGCGCAAGCGUUAUCCGGAAUUAUUGGGCGUAAAGAGCUCGUAGGCGGUUUGUCGCGUCUGCCGUGAAAGUCCGGGGCUCAACUCCGGAUCUGCGGUGGGUACGGGCAGACUAGAGUGAUGUAGGGGAGACUGGAAUUCCUGGUGUAGCGGUGAAAUGCGCAGAUAUCAGGAGGAACACCGAUGGCGAAGGCAGGUCUCUGGGCAUUAACUGACGCUGAGGAGCGAAAGCAUGGGGAGCGAACAGGAUUAGAUACCCUGGUAGUCCAUGCCGUAAACGUUGGGCACUAGGUGUGGGGGACAUUCCACGUUUUCCGCGCCGUAGCUAACGCAUUAAGUGCCCGCCUGGGGAGUACGGCCGCAAGGCUAAACUCAAAGGAAUUGACGG